Molecule: long non-coding RNA, 1350 nt
Organism: Olea europaea var. sylvestris
Lineage: Eukaryota; Viridiplantae; Streptophyta; Magnoliopsida; Lamiales; Oleaceae
Exons: 4
Source: RefSeq, a predicted model, not a curated record
AUCAAGCCCAUAAUCUCGCCCCAUUUAUGCCCAAUUACUCUUGCCACAUCUACCCCCCCAAUUGCCCAGGUCAUCCUGACAUCCAUCCUUACAGCAUUCAAACCAAAAAUUGAAAAAUUAAAACCUCAGAAUCUCCAUUACACAUCAAGAAAUCCUCAAAUCGUAUCUCAAUCCAUGUUUAUGUAAUUUCUAUGUCCACAAAAUCGAUUUCGAGCGCUAAAAUCUCAGCAUAUUGCGAUUCCUGCGUUGUUAUUUCAACCAAGCGUGAACGAUUCAUCAGAUUGGUGUGAUGGUGGUGAGGUGGUUGGGUGUGGUGUGGUAAUGUGAAUCUUCCAGCCCUCAAGAAAUCAGAUGCAAUGCUAAUUGGCAUCUUGGAUGGGUUUCGUGGCAUUAAGUUUUACUAUUUGAGAGUGGGAUGAAUGUUGCUGACUCUCACGGAGGCGUUUCAUAUCUCUUGAAGAAAAAUGGUGGAUGCCUUUCCCAGAGGUCCCACCCAAUUGUUUGUCUGAAUUUUCACUUGCAAUCUUCAACUCGACAUGUCAGCAUGUACUCACGUUUGUCGGACCAUACUGGGAGCUAUUGUGUAUGGCAUAUAACGCGACUGUCUUCUUCAUUAACUUCUUGUCACUGAAGACCUGGUUCUCUGUAUCUAUGUAGUCGCCUGCCCUUGAAUCUCCAACAUGAAUUAUCACUUCACACAUUAUCUCACACGAUCCAUUCUACAUCAUGGAUGAUGUACACUUCACAGAGGAGAAUCUCGACCAAGUGGAAGAGAUGGUAAACUGUGCCCUCAAGCUAAAAAGAAAAAUGAUGGAAGAACAUGGUCAUUUCACAUGUUUAGAACAAGGAGGACUUGGGCUCAGACCAAGGUGUGCAAGGGAUGUUCCGACCUGAUGCGCGACCAAUCAACACUAAUCUGAAUUCUCCCACAAUGCCAUGAUGACGAAGGUGUAUUUGUGACAAAGUAUGUGGAGUUCAUUAUCAAUGAAAUGAUACAUGAUAUGUUAGAAAACGUGGUUCCAAUGAUCACAAGGGCAUACCUGGCUUGUCAACUAUAUAAAUAUGAAAUCCAAAAGAGCAACGGAUAUUAUGAAUCAGAUGUUGAUCUCGUCCCAAGGAGCAUUGGGAAAGCGAUGAAGGCUAGGAAUGUCGAUAAUAUCCAGAAGUCAAUCAAGGGGAAAAAAUUAGUCUAUUUUGUUGAUACCCAUCAAACAUUUGUUGACGUCUUUUUACUUUUUUAGCCAUGUUAGCAAAUUUGUGCCUGAUUUGAUGGUGUUUACUUGAACAACUUUAGUAAUCAUGCAACGUCUAUUAUAUGGCGGUUUUUUUUAAUUGAAAUUCAAUACAAUA